This 1407-nucleotide ribosomal RNA is filed under the name uncultured Bacilli bacterium. RNAcentral describes it as "bacterial SSU rRNA". It matches the Rfam family "Bacterial small subunit ribosomal RNA", at positions 29 to 1393 of the family's 1533-position model. Lineage: Bacteria; Bacillati; Bacillota; Bacilli. The record is from RNAcentral.
ACGAACGCUGGCGGCGUGCCUAAUACAUGCAAGUCGAACGAGUCCUCCCAAUUUGAUUUUAUGCUUGCAUAAAUGAUUUUUGGAUUCGGGACGAGUGGCGAACUGGUGAGUAACACGUGGGUAACCUGCCCUAAAGCAGGGGAUAACAUUUGGAAACAGAUGCUAAUACCGUAUAAUUAGUUGGAACCACAUGGUUCCAACUUGAAAGAUGGCUCUGCUAUCACUUUAGGAUGGACCCGCGGCGUAUUAGCUAGUUGGUGAGAUAAAAGCUCACCAAGGCGAUGAUACGUAGCCGACCUGAGAGGGUAAUCGGCCACAUUGGGACUGAGACACGGCCCAGACUCCUACGGGAGGCAGCAGUAGGGAAUCUUCCACAAUGGACGAAAGUCUGAUGGAGCAACGCCGCGUGAGUGAAGAAGGGUUUCGGCUCGUAAAACUCUGUUGUUAAAGAAGAACAAGUGUAAGAGUAACUGUUUACGCUUUGACGGUAUUUAACCAGAAAGCCACGGCUAACUACGUGCCAGCAGCCGCGGUAAUACGUAGGUGGCAAGCGUUGUCCGGAUUUAUUGCGCGUAAAGCGAGCGCAGGUGGUCUUUUAAGUCUGUUGUGAAAGCCCUCAGCUCAACUGAGGAAGUGCAGCGGAAACUAGGAGACUUGAGUACAGAAGAGGAUAGUGGAAACUCCAUGUGUAGCGGUGAAAUGCGUAGAUAUAUGGAAAGGACACCAGUGGCGAAGGCGGCUAUCUGGUCUGUUACUGACACUGAGGCUCGAAAGCAUGGGUAGCGAACAGGAUUAGAUACCCUGGUAGUCCAUGCCGUAAACGAUGAAUACUAGGUGUUGGAGGGUUUCCGCCCUUCAGUGCCGCAGCUAACGCAUUAAGUAUUCCGCCUGGGGAGUACGACCGCAAGGUUGAAACUCAAAGGAAUUGACGGGGGCCCGCACAAGUGGUGGAGCAUGUGGUUUAAUUCGAUGCUACGCGAAGAACCUUACCAGGUCUUGACAUCUUCUGCCAACCUAAGAGAUUAGGCGUUCCCUUCGGGGACAGAAUGACAGGUGGUGCAUGGUUGUCGUCAGCUCGUGUCGUGAGAUGUUGGGUUAAGUCCCGCAACGAGCGCAACCCUUAUUAUUAGUUGCCAGCAUUAAGUUGGGCACUCUAGUGAGACUGCCGGUGAUAAACCGGAGGAAGGUGGGGAUGACGUCAAAUCAUCAUGCCCCUUAUGACCUGGGCUACACACGUGCUACAAUGGAUGGUACAACGAGUCGCGAAACCGCGAGGUCAAGCUAAUCUCUUAAAGCCAUUCUCAGUUCGGAUUGCAGGCUGCAACUCGCCUGCAUGAAGUUGGAAUCACUAGUAAUCGUGGAUCAGCAUGCCACGGUGAAUACGUUCCCGGGCCUUGCACACACCGC